Molecule: long non-coding RNA, 213 nt
Filed under: Homo sapiens (human)
Lineage: Eukaryota; Metazoa; Chordata; Mammalia; Primates; Hominidae
Description: non-protein coding lnc-DRD5-4:3
Source: RNAcentral
AUGAAAUAAGGACAUUACCAGAUAAAAGAGAACUGAGAAUUUGUUGUCAGCAUCCCCAUACUAUAAGAAAUGCCAGCGUAGUUUCUUCAGGUUGAAGGGAAAGAAUACCAGAGGAAAACUUGAAUCUUCAGGAAGGAAUGGCAUCAUUGGAAAUGGUAGCCUAAUUAUAACUAUUGUGGUUUCAUAAUUAUCAGAUAAUUAUGACAUAGCUUU